This 85-nucleotide transfer RNA is filed under the name Felis catus (domestic cat). It matches the Rfam family "tRNA". Rfam says of the family: Transfer RNA (tRNA) molecules are approximately 80 nucleotides in length. The record is from Rfam by way of RNAcentral. Lineage: Eukaryota; Metazoa; Chordata; Mammalia; Carnivora; Felidae. RNAcentral also lists the same sequence under 4 other names.
GCCUGAGUGGCUCAGUCGGUUGAGCAUCUGAUUUUGGCUCAGGUCAUCAUCUCGCGGUUUGUGAGUUCAAGCCGCACAUCGGGCU